RNAcentral lists this ribosomal RNA (371 nucleotides) under uncultured bacterium. Its description in RNAcentral is "bacterial SSU rRNA". It matches the Rfam family "Bacterial small subunit ribosomal RNA", at positions 525 to 896 of the family's 1533-position model. The record is from RNAcentral.
ACGUAGGCAGCAAGCGUUGUUCGGAGUUACUGGGCGUAAAGAGUGCGUAGGUGGUUUUCUAAGUUCGGUGUGAAAUCUCCCGGCUCAACUGGGAGGGUGCGCCGAAAACUGGAAGACUUGAGUGCGGGAGAGGAGAGCGGAAUUCCUGGUGUAGCGGUGAAAUGCGUAGAUAUCAGGAGGAACACCUGUGGUGCAGACGGCUCUCUGGACCGCCACUGACACUGAGGCACGAAAGCGUGGGGAGCAAACAGGAUUAGAUACCCUGGUAGUCCACGCCCUAAACGAUGCAUACUUGGUGUGGGUCAUUCAGUUGAUCCGUGCCGGAGCUAACGCGUUAAGUAUGCCGCCUGGGGAGUACGGUCGCAAGGCUG